GAUGAACGCUGGCGGCGUGCCUAAUACAUGCAAGUCGAGCGAACGGACGAGAAGCUUGCUUCUCUGAUGUUAGCGGCGGACGGGUGAGUAACACGUGGAUAACCUACCUAUAAGACUGGGAUAACUUCGGGAAACCGUAGCUAAUACCGGAUAAUAUUUUGAACCGCAUGGUUCAAAAGUGAAAGACGGUCUUGCUGUCACUUAUAGAUGGAUCCGCGCUGCAUUAGCUAGUUGGUAAGGUAACGGCUUACCAAGGCAACGAUGCAUAGCCGACCUGAGAGGGGUGUCGGCCCACCCGGAACUGGAGCACGGUCCAGACCCCUUCGGGGGGCCGCCGUAGGGAAUCUUCCGGAAUGGGCGAAAGCCUUGCGGAGCAACGCCGCGUGAGUGAUUAAGGUUUUCGGAUCGUAAAACUCUGUUAUUAGGGAAGAACAUAUUUUUAAGGAACUGUGCACAUCUUGACGGUACCUAAUCAGAAAGCCACGGCUAACUACGUG
This 497-nucleotide ribosomal RNA is filed under the name uncultured bacterium. RNAcentral's name for it is "partial 16S ribosomal RNA". It matches the Rfam family "Bacterial small subunit ribosomal RNA", at positions 28 to 507 of the family's 1533-position model. The record is from RNAcentral.